UACCUGAAGCUGACGGUUAUCACCGGCAUCAGCUGGCUUCUGGAUGUGAUUGGGGCGUUCAUAGAACCCGAGCAUUGGGGGUGGCUGGCGGUCGACAUCCUCAACGGCUUGUCUGGAUGUUAUAUUUUCUGCGCGUUCAUUUGCAAGAAGGAGAUGAUCGUGCUACUUUGCAAAAGAUUCAAGAUAGAAACAAGUUUUGCGCGUCAAUGGGAAUCGACCAUGGUGACAAGCGUCUCCGUGACGAAGAGACAAUUGUCAGAAAAAGAAACGACGCCGACCGAGCAGAAACCGGCGUUCUUUUCUGACAAACCGGGGUACAACUAAAUUAUUAACCAUCUACAAUUAUAUUUUACAUACUUAAUUAAUAACAAAAUUACAAUACAA
Molecule: long non-coding RNA, 384 nt
Organism: Cydia splendana
Lineage: Eukaryota; Metazoa; Arthropoda; Insecta; Lepidoptera; Tortricidae
Exons: 3
Source: RefSeq, a predicted model, not a curated record